RNAcentral lists this ribosomal RNA (48 nucleotides) under Vishniacozyma carnescens. RNAcentral's name for it is "partial 28S ribosomal RNA". The record is from RNAcentral. Lineage: Eukaryota; Fungi; Basidiomycota; Tremellomycetes; Tremellales; Bulleribasidiaceae.
AUCUGGCCUCAAAUCAGGUAGGGCUACCCGCUGAACUUAAGCAUAUCA